ACCUGGGUGGCUCAGUUGGUUGAGUGCCUGGCUUCAGCUCAGGUCAUGAUCUCACCGCUCGUGAGUUCAAGCCCCGCGUCAGGUU
This 85-nucleotide transfer RNA is filed under the name Felis catus (domestic cat). It matches the Rfam family "tRNA". Rfam says of the family: Transfer RNA (tRNA) molecules are approximately 80 nucleotides in length. Lineage: Eukaryota; Metazoa; Chordata; Mammalia; Carnivora; Felidae. The record is from Rfam by way of RNAcentral. RNAcentral also lists the same sequence under 3 other names.